Molecule: ribosomal RNA, 276 nt
Filed under: uncultured Lachnospiraceae bacterium
Lineage: Bacteria; Bacillati; Bacillota; Clostridia; Lachnospirales; Lachnospiraceae
Description: partial 16S ribosomal RNA
Rfam family: Bacterial small subunit ribosomal RNA (bases 38-276)
Source: RNAcentral
AUUUCCUUCGGGACUGAUUAUUUUGUGACUGAGUGGCGGACGGGUGAGUAACGCGUGGGUAACCUGCCUUGUACUGGGGGACAACAGUUGGAAACGACUGCUAAUACCGCAUAAGCGCACAAUGUUGCAUGACAUGGUGUGAAAAACUCCGGUGGUAUAAGAUGGACCCGCGUCUGAUUAGCUGGUUGGUGAGGUAACGGCCCACCAAGGCGACGAUCAGUAGCCGACCUGAGAGGGUGAUCGGCCACAUUGGGACUGAGACACGGCCCAAACUCC